RNAcentral lists this ribosomal RNA (774 nucleotides) under uncultured Tulasnellaceae. Its description in RNAcentral is "eukaryotic LSU rRNA". The stretch from base 321 to 774 matches the Rfam family "Eukaryotic large subunit ribosomal RNA", at positions 1 to 439 of the family's 3401-position model. The record is from RNAcentral. Lineage: Eukaryota; Fungi; Basidiomycota; Agaricomycetes; Cantharellales; Tulasnellaceae.
CCGUUGCAAAAUGCGAUAAGUGGUGUGAUAUGCAAGUCCAAAACUUAUACGUGAACCAUCGAAUUGUUGAACGCACUGCAUCGAGCCUUACCCAGGAACGAUACGCCCCAUUGAGCGUCAUUACGUCUUCGCGACCUGUCCCCUUCUUGCGGGACUUGUCCGGGUUCGGGAUUCACGGCCCACGGCCGCGCUUCCUCAGAUGCAUGGACGCGCCGGAACGCCGGGUGACCUUGUCAUGAAUGUCGAGGCAGCCCAUGUGUCCCGGCGCAGGAUCCGCCGUCCGCCGACGGAUCGAGUGCGCUCGCCGCAACUUCUCCACAUGACCUCACGGGGGUGGGACGACCCGCUAGACUUAAGCAUAUUAAUCAGCGGAGGAAAAGAAACUAACAAGGAUUCCCCCAGUAACUGCGAGUGAAGAGGGAUGAGCUCAAUGUGUGAAUCGCGUCGGGAUUAGCCCCCUUCUCGAGUUGUGCACUAUAGACGCCGGAUCAGCGCUGGAAGGAUCGAGGUGGAUGUCCGAUGAAACUCGGUGCCAUUGAGGGUCAUAGUCCUGUACUUGCCUUGCCAUCCUUUGCGCCUUUGACCGGUGUUCUUUGAGUCGCGUAGUUUUGUAUUGGUGCGCUAAUCGGGAGGUAGAGCCCUUCUAAAGCUAAAUAUGAUGACGUGACCGAUAGCACACAAGUACCGCGAGGGAAAGGUGAAAAGCAACCAUGCAGAAUGGGUUGAAACAGCAGUGAAAGCGCUACUGGGAUAAGGGCUGGGGAUUGCUUGUGU